Molecule: long non-coding RNA, 547 nt
Organism: Dermacentor silvarum
Lineage: Eukaryota; Metazoa; Arthropoda; Arachnida; Ixodida; Ixodidae
Exons: 2
Source: RefSeq, a predicted model, not a curated record
CUUGUAAUGAAGACAUAAUUCAUCAUAAUUGGCUAGACAGAACAAAAAUCGCAUAUUUUGAUGCAGCGGCAUUUCCUACCUAAUUUUUGCGUAUUUCUGCUUCUUUUUUCAGCUUCAACAACUUGUUUGAAUGGAGGAAUCAUGUGUGUGGGAGGUUGCCUUCAAUAUAAUGAACGCCAUCAUGGGCCAUGCAGUUCAGCUGCCGUACAGCCUGCAUGGGAAGAAUAGCAAGAGACUGUUUAACAUGCGGCUAUGCAGAGUGGGAACAGAAGGUGCCUGAGAGACGCAGAGAUCGACAUCAAUCAAGCGCAAGACUUCAUAAGAAUGUGGCUGCCAGGCGCCGUCGACUGUGCUAAUAGCAGAAGGCGGCGUUACGCCGAAGCGGCUCAACCCGUUCAGCAUCUUCAAGUGCCCCUUUUGCGAGCCCAGCCUCAACCUCCCGUAGCGCCAUAAACAAAGCUUUAGUAGGUGGCCCACAGGAUUGGGGAUACGAGCGACAAUCUGUAUCAACCUAUUUUAAGACCAAUAAAGAAAUUAUGUAUCAUUA